GACGAACGCUGGCGGCGCGCCUAACACAUGCAAGUCGAACGGAGCUGAGCGAAGCUUGCUUUUCUUAGCUUAGUGGCGAACGGGUGAGUAACGCGUGAGUACCCUGUCCUGGAGUGGGGGAAAACCGUUGAACACGACUUCUAAUACCGCAUAAGCCCACGAUCCGGCGUGGGAUUGAGGGAAAAGGAUUUAUUCGCUUCAGGAUGGACUCGCGUCCAAUGAGCUAGUUGGUGGGGUAACGGCCCACCAAGGCGACGAUUGGUAGCCGGACUGAGAGGUUGAACGGCCACAUUGGGACUGAGACACGGCCCAGACUCCUACGGGAGGCAGCAGUGGGGGAUAUUGCACAAUGGGGGAAACCCUGAUGCAGCGAAGCCGCGUGGAGGAAGAAGGUUUUCGGAUUGUAAACUCCUGUCGUUAGUGACGAUAAUGACGGUACCUAACAAGAAAGCACCGGCUAACUACGUG
This 468-nucleotide ribosomal RNA is filed under the name uncultured bacterium. RNAcentral describes it as "partial 16S ribosomal RNA". It matches the Rfam family "Bacterial small subunit ribosomal RNA", at positions 28 to 507 of the family's 1533-position model. The record is from RNAcentral.